RNAcentral lists this ribosomal RNA (301 nucleotides) under uncultured bacterium. RNAcentral describes it as "partial 16S ribosomal RNA". It matches the Rfam family "Bacterial small subunit ribosomal RNA", at positions 509 to 807 of the family's 1533-position model. The record is from RNAcentral.
CAGUAGCCGCGGGAAAACAGAGGGUGCAAGCGUUAAUCGGAUUUACUGGGCGUAAAGGGCGCGUAGGUGGUUAUGUAAGUGAGAUGUGAAAUCCCCGGGCUCAACCUGGGAACUGCAUCUUAUACUGCGUAGCUGGAGUGCAGUAGAGGGUAGUGGAAUUUCCGGUGUAGCGGUGAAAUGCGUAGGUAUCGGAAGGAACACCAGUGGCGAAGGCGGCUACCUGGACUGACACUGACACUGAGGCGCGAAAGCGUGGGGAGCAAACAGGAUUAGAUACCCCAGUAGUCCCUGUCUCUUAUAC